Molecule: ribosomal RNA, 522 nt
Filed under: Triticum aestivum (bread wheat)
Lineage: Eukaryota; Viridiplantae; Streptophyta; Magnoliopsida; Poales; Poaceae
Description: partial small subunit ribosomal RNA
Source: RNAcentral
UUGCCUCAUAUUGAAUUUGCUUAUAAUCGUUCAUUGCAUUCUACUACUAAGAUGUGCCCUUUUGAAGUUGUGUAUGGUUUCCUACCUCGUGCACCUAUUGAUUUGUUGCCUCUUCCAUCUUCGGAGAAGGUUAAUUUUGAUGCUAAACAACGUGCUGAAUUGAUUUUAAAAAUGCAUGAGUUAACUAAGAAAAACAUUGAGCGUAUGAAUGCUAAAUAUAAACUUGCUGGAGAUAAGGGUAGAAAACAUGUUGUGUUUGCACCUGGAGAUCUUGUUUGGUUACAUUUGCGUAAGGAUAGAUUUCCUGAUUUGCGCAAAUCAAAGCUAAUGCCACGUGCUGAUGGUCCCUUUAAGGUGUUAGAGAAAAUAAAUGAUAAUGCAUAUAAACUUGAGCUGCCUGCAGAUUUUGGGGUUAGUCCCACUUUUAACAUUGCAGAUUUGAAGCCUUAUUUGGGUGAGGAAGAUGAGUUUCCGUCGAGGACGACUUCAUUUCAAGAAGGGGAGGAUGAUGAGGACAUCAAU